Molecule: long non-coding RNA, 257 nt
Filed under: Homo sapiens (human)
Lineage: Eukaryota; Metazoa; Chordata; Mammalia; Primates; Hominidae
Description: non-protein coding lnc-GCNT1-7:1
Source: RNAcentral
GCCGCCGACCCAACAAAUACCGCCGGGCGCCUGAGGAGCUGCGUCUCCGCUGGAGGGCAGCGGAGACAGCCGAAAGGGGCCCAUACGGCGUUGUUCUGGAUUCCCGUCGUAACUUAAAGGGAAACUUUCACAAUGUCCGGAGCCCUUGAUGUCCUGCAAAUGAAGGAGGAGGAUGUCCUUAAGUUCCUUGCAGCAGGAACCCACUUAGGUGGCACCAAUCUUGACUUCCAGAUGGAACAGUACAUCUGUAAAAGGAA